GAACAAAAUCCCAAAGGAAUCUUAUUGUGAAAAAUAUAAGAAUGUAAAAAAAUUACAUUAGUUAUAACAAAUACUUCUUUCUUGAAUCACUUAACUGUUGAAACAAUGUGAUCAGUCAUCCUUCCUACUCAUUACUUUCCCCCAUGAGACAGGGGUUUUCUUGCUGUUAUCUCGAAACUAAUGGCUAAAAUAUAUCCAAUAUAUCGAUAAGAAUUCGAAAAGAAUUAACUUUUGGAGUAAUUGCAUGGCAGAGAAUUAGAUUACGCCACUAUCCGCUCCUGGUCUAUGUACAUUUGUUCCAGCCAUGGUGGAAUGGUGUCGCGAAUACUGCCGUGCUUCUGCUCUGAGCUAUAUAGCCCGGUACCAGUGGAGGACACAUCUUUGACCAAGGAAUGAACCCACGAAACGUCUGGCUCAUUGACUUGAGAUGGUGCGAUUGGUGAUCUUGUUGGAGCAGCAUUUCCACCGCGGAAACCAAAAGAUUGAGAUCUCUUGAGCUUGUUCGUGUCCUCGCUAUUGAAGCCCCACUCUAAUUUCCCAGUUGGGGAGCCCCAAUCCGAUAUAUUAGAUGACAUCAAAGGUGGUGAAUUAGCAACGCCAUUGGGACCAGAACGAUGGCCAAUUCCACUACGAUCAAUAAAACUCUGACUCCGCUGCUUUGCAAAAGCAGCAGACCUAGAGUUCAUGACAGCUGCAGCCACUGCUGCUGAAGAGUCAAAUCCAUACGUCGAGGGCUUUCUCAGGGGAGAUGAUGAUUGAGACAUGAUAGAAUAGCUCCCUUGAAAUUGGUUCAUGUUUUGCCGCAUCUGAAGCCCGGUUGGAGAUUGCAGCUGGGAGGUGUUACUUGUCACCUUAGGGGAGAGACCUUGCAUAUGAGAAACCGAUGGAGAAUAUAACUGAGAACUGGUGUUUGAUGUCAUUCUUGGAGAUAGGCCCUGCAAUUGGGACAGCAAUUGAGAAUCCACCGAUCCAAAAACAUCAUCAAGAUUAGUAGGCUUCAAAUCCCCCAUCCUGUUAUCGUUCUUCCAAUAGGAUGGAGAAGAGAGACCAGCCAUCUCAUCGAUCAAUUGCUGCCUUAGUUGCUGCUGUGUGCGGAUGCUUUCCAAGCCAAGCAUUUCCAUAUCCAAGUCCAAGUCCCGGGCGUUCAGAGACGUCUUAAGCCUACUACCAGGAAGCUGUAGUGCAGGCGGGGUGAGAUUCACCUUGCCCGGCCACAUGUUUCCGCCCAUUGGAGACGAACACGUAGCAGCAGGAGACAUCGGAGGUGUUGAAGUAGUAGUAGUAGGCAGCAUCAUGGAAGAUGAACUGAGCGCCAGAGGACUUGGUGUUGACAUGUCCAUAGAACUGACUGGAGUAGCCUUUGGAGAAGGAAUAGCUGAGCCAGUGGAUGCAUACAAUGGGCGUAGCUCUUCAUGCUUGUGAGCAAAGAAGCAAACUUUCCUCGAGCACCCGGUCUCAUCCUUGCAGAGACGGGUUCUAUAUUGGGCAGGAUGAAGCCAUGACUCAAAUACACCAUGAGCAUACUCACAAGAAUCACCUUUGGCACAAGCACCUUUCUUGAACUCAGGACACGGGACACAAGUGUAGUUAUACUUCCUUGGGUCACGUCUCCUCGCAUUCUCCCCUGGAUGAACAAAAGGGCAUUCAGUCCAGUCAUGAGAAUAAGCCCUAGAGCAAGGCUUAACCUUGAAACAAUACAUCCUGAAAUCAUCACUCCCGUAAAUCCCAUCGUUUAUAUCUGGUAAGGAAGUGUCAAUCGGGUACUCCUUCUUCUCACUUCCUUCUUUCGUCGGUUGAAUCACUGCUUUUCCUUCUUCUUCCUCCAGCUCCGCGAGCUCAGCCAAGCUACCAUUCAACAGCAACUCGAGCGAUUUCCUUUUCGAAUUCCUCAAACACUUAGGAUAAGAAGCAAUCACAUCACAUGGUCUGUUUCCACUUGAAUCACAAGCAUUAACAUCUGCAGAAGCAUCAACCAAGAUCUUGACAACCUCGAUCGAUGAUUCAGAUCCACCAGCUGCAGCACAGUGAAGAGCAGUUGCACCAUCAGAUCCACAAGCUCUGUUGACAUCAACUUUCCCAGUUUCAAUAAUAAACCUCAAAAUCUCAAUACUUCCAUACAUAGAAGCAAUCAUUAAAGGAGUUCUCUCCUCUAACCCCAUCUCUUUUGACCCGAAUUUUCUACCAUACCAAGAGCUUAACUCAUCAAUCCCACAACCCUUUUCCACUUCACAUAUGAAUCCAGCAAGAUCAUCUGAAGCUGACAAUUCAAGCAAUUUAGAGCAAUUUUUACUAACCCCA
This 2298-nucleotide long non-coding RNA is filed under the name Nicotiana benthamiana. Its description in RNAcentral is "long non-coding RNA (NBEN_LNC020327)". Lineage: Eukaryota; Viridiplantae; Streptophyta; Magnoliopsida; Solanales; Solanaceae. The record is from RNAcentral.